UACAGAGGCCCCAAGCAUUACCCGGAAUCACUGGGCGUAAAGGGUGUCUAGGCGGCCAUAUUAGUCUUCUGUUAAAUCUCUGGGCCUAACCCAGAGGCUGCAGGGGAAACGGUAUGGCUCGAGGGCGCGAGAGGUGCACGGAACUCAUGGUGGAGGGGUGAAAUCCGUUGAUAUCAUGGGGAACACCAAAGGCGAAGGCAGUGCACUGGUGCGUUCCUGACGCUGACACACGAAAGCCAGGGUAGCGAACGGG
Molecule: ribosomal RNA, 253 nt
Filed under: uncultured bacterium
Lineage: Bacteria
Description: partial 16S ribosomal RNA
Rfam family: Bacterial small subunit ribosomal RNA
Source: RNAcentral